GGCUCUGGAGUAUAUAUUACGUUGAAUUGCAAAUUCAAAGAAGUGGCUGAGCAGCUGCCAGGGCUU
Molecule: transfer RNA, 66 nt
Filed under: Simosthenurus occidentalis (short-faced kangaroo)
Lineage: Eukaryota; Metazoa; Chordata; Mammalia; Diprotodontia; Macropodidae
Description: tRNA-Cys
Source: RNAcentral